This 501-nucleotide ribosomal RNA is filed under the name uncultured bacterium. Its description in RNAcentral is "partial 16S ribosomal RNA". It matches the Rfam family "Bacterial small subunit ribosomal RNA", at positions 30 to 523 of the family's 1533-position model. The record is from RNAcentral.
AUUGAACGCUGGCGGCAGGCUUAACACAUGCAAGUCGAGCGGAGCGAGGGUGCUUGCACCUUAGCUUAGCGGCGGACGGGUGAGUAAUGCUUAGGAAUCUGCCUAUUAGUGGGGGACGACAUUCCGAAAGGAAUGCUAAUACCGCAUACGCCCUACGGGGGAAAGCAGGGGAUCUUCGGACCUUGCGCUAAGAGAUGAGCCUAAGUCGGAUUAGCUAGUUGGUGGGGUAAAGGCCUACCAAGGCGACGAUCUGUAGCGGGUCUGAGAGGCUGAUCCGCCACACUGGGACUGAGAAACGGCCCGGACUCCUAAGGGAGGCAGCAGUGGGGAAUAUUGGACAAUGGGCGGAAGCCUGAUCCAGCCAUGCCGCGUGUGUGAAGAAGGCCUUUUGGUUGUAAAGCACUUUAAGCGAGGAGGAGGCUACUUAGAUUAAUACUCUGGGAUAGUGGACGUUACUCGCAGAAUAAGCACCGGCUAACUCUGUGCCAGCAGCCGCCGUAA